UUUGCUGAUUUAUAUUUUCAUAUCUUUUAUUUUUUAUUUAUUUGUUUAUAUUAUUUUUAUGCCAUUAUUGUAUUUGUUAUCAUUGUUAUUACGACAUUUGCACAUAUAAAAUAACGUUACAUCAUCUUUUACUCGAAUUUAAAAAUAGAAAAUUUUCAAAAUUGAGAUAAUGUUCGUAUUUAGGAUUUUCAAAGAAAUUGAGCCCUAACGUAUU
Molecule: long non-coding RNA, 214 nt
Filed under: Gossypium raimondii (Peruvian cotton)
Lineage: Eukaryota; Viridiplantae; Streptophyta; Magnoliopsida; Malvales; Malvaceae
Description: long non-coding RNA (GRAI_LNC008932)
Source: RNAcentral